RNAcentral lists this ribosomal RNA (570 nucleotides) under uncultured fungus. RNAcentral describes it as "eukaryotic LSU rRNA". The stretch from base 210 to 363 matches the Rfam family "5.8S ribosomal RNA". Lineage: Eukaryota; Fungi. The record is from RNAcentral.
GUCGUAACAAGGUCUCCGUAGGUGAACCUGCGGAGGGAUCAUUACACAAAUAUGAAGGCGGGCUGGAACCUCUCGGGGUUACAGCCUUGCUGAAUUAUUCACCCUUGUCUUUUGCGUACUUCUUGUUUCCUUGGUGGGUUCGCCCACCACUAGGACAAACAUAAACCUUUUGUAAUUGCAAUCAGCGUCAGUAACAAAUUAAUAAUUACAACUUUCAACAACGGAUCUCUUGGUUCUGGCAUCGAUGAAGAACGCAGCGAAAUGCGAUAAGUAGUGUGAAUUGCAGAAUUCAGUGAAUCAUCGAAUCUUUGAACGCACAUUGCGCCCUUUGGUAUUCCAAAGGGCAUGCCUGUUCGAGCGUCAUUUGUACCCUCAAGCUUUGCUUGGUGUUGGGCGUCUUGUCUCUAGCUUUGCUGGAGACUCGCCUUAAAGUAAUUGGCAGCCGGCCUACUGGUUUCGGAGCGCAGCACAAGUCGCACUCUCUAUCAGCAAAGGUCUAGCAUCCAUUAAGCCUUUUUUUCAACUUUUGACCUCGGAUCAGGUUGGGAUACCCGCUGAACUUAAGCAUAU